UACAGAGGUCUCGAGCGUUGUUCGGAUUCAUUGGGCGUAAAGGGUGCGUAGGUGGCGCUGUAAGUCGGGUGUGAAAUCCUGAGGCUUAACCUCGAAACUGCAUUCGAUACUGCGGUGCUUGAGGACUGGAGAGGAGACUGGAAUUCAUGGUGUAGCAGUGAAAUGCGUAGAGAUCAUGAGGAAGACCAGUGGCGAAGGCGGGUCUCUGGACAGUUCCUGACACUGAGACACGAAGGCCAGGGGAGCGAACGGG
RNAcentral lists this ribosomal RNA (253 nucleotides) under uncultured bacterium. Its description in RNAcentral is "partial 16S ribosomal RNA". It matches the Rfam family "Bacterial small subunit ribosomal RNA", at positions 524 to 776 of the family's 1533-position model. The record is from RNAcentral.